GGCCGAGUGGUUCAGGCGAUGGAUUAGAAAUCCAUUGGUGUCUCCCCGCACAGGUUCGAAUCCUGU
This is a non-coding RNA of Ixodes scapularis (black-legged tick), 66 nucleotides long. NCBI's taxonomy places the organism in Eukaryota, Metazoa, Arthropoda, Arachnida, Ixodida, Ixodidae. The record is from Rfam.